This 215-nucleotide long non-coding RNA is filed under the name Brassica napus (rape). Its description in RNAcentral is "long non-coding RNA (BNAP_LNC016186)". Lineage: Eukaryota; Viridiplantae; Streptophyta; Magnoliopsida; Brassicales; Brassicaceae. The record is from RNAcentral.
AGAAGUAAACUAGAAAUAUAGGGUUAGGUAUACUUAUGUUUGGUUAUCUUCGGAUAUCCAUUCAGGUUCAGAUAUUACCCGUUCGGAUUCAGAUAUUACCUGAACUGGUCAAAUAAGUAAUUUGUUUUGUUGUUCUUGAAUUAGAUGACUUUUAGACCGAGCUGGUGAAUAUAUACUUGACAGACAUUUAUAUUUCGAGUAUGCACUUAUAUUCU